RNAcentral lists this ribosomal RNA (513 nucleotides) under Leptosphaeria sp. Sigrf23. Its description in RNAcentral is "eukaryotic LSU rRNA". The stretch from base 158 to 311 matches the Rfam family "5.8S ribosomal RNA". The record is from RNAcentral. Lineage: Eukaryota; Fungi; Ascomycota; Dothideomycetes; Pleosporales; Leptosphaeriaceae.
ACUGCGGAAGGAUCAUUAUCAAAACAGCGGACUUCGGUCCUUGCUGCACCCUUGUCUUUUGCGUACCGUAUGUUUCCUCGGCGGGCUUGCCUGCCGGUUGGACAUUAUCAAACCUUUUUGUAGUUGCAAUCAGCGUCAGAAAAUAAACAAUAAUUACAACUUUCAACAACGGAUCUCUUGGUUCUGGCAUCGAUGAAGAACGCAGCGAAAUGCGAAAAGUAGUGUGAAUUGCAGAAUUCAGUGAAUCAUCGAAUCUUUGAACGCACAUUGCGCCCCUUGGUAUUCCAUGGGGCAUGCCUGUUCGAGCGUCAUUUUGUACCCUCAAGCACUGCUUGGUGUUGGGCGUUUGUCCUGCAAAGGACUCGCCUGAAAGCGAUUGGCGGCCAACGUACUGGUGGUAGAGCGCAGCACAAUUUGCGUCUCUCCCUUCUACGUCGGCGUCCAUGAAGCCUUUUUUCAACGUUUGACCUCGGAUCAGGUAGGGAUACCCGCUGAACUUAAGCAUAUCAUAGG